RNAcentral lists this long non-coding RNA (1425 nucleotides) under Solanum lycopersicum (tomato). RNAcentral's name for it is "long non-coding RNA (SLYC_LNC001280)". Lineage: Eukaryota; Viridiplantae; Streptophyta; Magnoliopsida; Solanales; Solanaceae. The record is from RNAcentral.
AUUCAUUCAGACACUCAUUCACUCUCAACCAAAAAUUCUCUCAUCACUCUCACUUCUCUCAUUGCUCUCUUGGCUACUUAACAAAACAUUAAUAUUCCGGUAAUUAUUCAAGGGUUCUUCUUUGCUAUCUUAUUACUUUGUUCGAGUAAAGGUUGAAUCAAUUCGUUUUGCUUAACGGGUUAGUAAUCUUAACAUUCAUACUAUCUUCAUAUUCACAUAUUUGUGUAAACCAUUGUCUGUUUUUUAUAUAGAAUUCGUCAUUAAACGAUUGCAUAUUGUCUCACCUUAACUAACAAGUGUGAUUACUUGUGUAGUUAUUUAAUUACUUUGACAGGUUUCAUAUUUGAAGUUCAAGUUGAAGAUUAACUGAAGAAGGAUUUGUUUAUUUGUUUGAAUGUAUAUAUAUAUCUAUAUAUUUUUAUUUUUUCCGCUAUUUUAUUUAUUUGAAUGAUGUAACAAUUGUAACCCUAAAGAUCAUAUAAUAAAUUUAUUUGGGGGUCGUCUAUGGGAGGGGGAUUUAUAUGCUUACUUGCUUCAUUAAUUUUUUUUAGAAAUCAUGCCUAUAGGUUUGUCUUUAAUCGCCUUGAUUUAAUAUUUGUAGGUGUUAUAAUCUAACCAAUUUUCAAUUUACUUGACGCUUUCGUUAAUAAGUCUAAAAAAAAAAAUAACUAGAUUCCAUUAAUUUUUAAAUAUUAAAAUCAAGUCCUAAUAAUAAUAGGUUGUUAGAUGUUAAAAUAUGUUAUAAAUUUUCAUUUGUCUUAUCACGUAGAACUAUGCCUAAGUAUUAAAUUGUUCACAUCAUUUACAAAAUCAUGCAUAUAUAUGUUACUCUGUUUUUUUAAACACCUAGAAAUCAUGUCUAUAGGGUUGUAAAUAAACUCUCAGCAUGUCCAUAAAAAAUAAAAUUUUGUUUGUGCAUAUUUGAGCCCUCCCCUAAAAUUAGUUAAUAUUAUUUAACUAGUAAUCCCAUUCGUUUUUCUUGAAGAUUUCCGCAUUCCUUGCAAUAUGUUAUUUUCUUAAAUUAACACUAAAUUAGAAUCAUUUCAUGCAUUUAACUUGACUUUAAAAAACAUUUCAUAUCAAAACCUUGUAACAUAAUUUUCUCAAAAAGUCAUUAUUCAAUCUUCUUUUAAAACUUUGGAUUGAUUUUGACAUUGUUUGUUUUUGAAAAUAAAUUAUAAGCACUAUCUCCUAACCUAUCGUUAGUGGGAAAGUCAAAGGAACUACGAGGUCUAGUUCCAAUUUUUAAACCCGACGCAUCCUCGGAAGUACCGCCUACCCAUGAAUUAAAAAAAAAAUUAUGUGCAUUUAUAUGUAAAUGUUUAUGUGCCUACGUGUGAACUAAAUCUUUUAAAUCAUUUUUCAAAACAUAACUAUUUUUAGACCGACCUCAAAUCAAAAUUGUUUUCUAUGGUGGAGGAGCGC